CCUACGGGAGGCAGCAGUGGGGAAUAUUGCACAAUGGGGGAAACCCUGAUGCAGCGACGCCGCGUGAGUGAAGAAGUAAUUCGUUAUGUAAAGCUCUAUCAGCAGGGAAGAAAAUGACGGUACCUGAGUAAGCAGCCCCGGCUAACUACGUGCCAGCAGCCGCGGUAAUACGUAGGGUGCAAGCGUUAUCCGGUUUUACUGGGUGUAACGGGAACGUAGACGGCAGUGCAAGUCUGGAGUGAAAGGCGGGGGCUCAACCCCCGGACUGCUCUGGAAACUGUACGGCUGGAGUGCAGGAGAGGUAAGUGGAAUUCCUGGUGUAGCGGUGAAAUGCGUAGAUAGUAGGAGGAACACCAGUGGCGAAGGCGGCUUACUGGACUGUAACUGACGUUGAGGCUCGAAAGCGUGGGGAGCAAACAGGAUUAGAUACCCCUGUAGUC
Molecule: ribosomal RNA, 440 nt
Filed under: uncultured bacterium
Lineage: Bacteria
Description: partial 16S ribosomal RNA
Rfam family: Bacterial small subunit ribosomal RNA
Source: RNAcentral